UACGGGGGGGGUAAGCGUUGUUCGGAAUUACUGGGCGUAAAGGGCUCGUAGGCGGCCAACUAAGUCGGACGUGAAAUCCCUCAGCUUAACCGGGGAACUGCGUCCGAUACUGGAUGGCUUGGAUUCGGGAGAGGAAUGCGGAAUUCCAGGUGUAGCGGUGAAAUGCGUAGAUAUCUGGAGGAACACCGGUGGCGAAGGCGGCAUUCUGGACCGACAUUGACGCUGAGGAGCGAAAGCCAGGGGAGCAAACGGG
RNAcentral lists this ribosomal RNA (253 nucleotides) under uncultured bacterium. Its description in RNAcentral is "partial 16S ribosomal RNA". It matches the Rfam family "Bacterial small subunit ribosomal RNA", at positions 524 to 776 of the family's 1533-position model. The record is from RNAcentral.